ACGCACGCUGGCGGCGUGCUUAACACAUGCAAGUCGAACGGAAAGGCCCUGCUUUUGUGGGGUGCUCGAGUGGCGAACGGGUGAGUAACACGUGAGUAACCUGCCCUUGACUUUGGGAUAACUUCAGGAAACUGGGGCUAAUACCGGAUAGGCGCUCCUGCUGCAUGGUGGGGGUUGGAAAGUUUCGGCGGUUGGGGAUGGACUCGCGGCUUAUCAGCUUGUUGGUGGGGUAGUGGCUUACCAAGGCUUUGACGGGUAGCCGGCCUGAGAGGGUGACCGGCCACAUUGGGACUGAGAUACGGCCCAGACUCCUACGGGAGGCAGCAGUGGGGAAUAUUGCACAAUGGGCGGAAGCCUGAUGCAGCAACGCCGCGUGCGGGAUGACGGCCUUCGGGUUGUAAACCGCUUUCGCCUGUGACGAAGCGUGAGUGACGGUAAUGGGUAAAGAAGCACCGGCUAACUACGUG
This 467-nucleotide ribosomal RNA is filed under the name uncultured bacterium. RNAcentral describes it as "partial 16S ribosomal RNA". It matches the Rfam family "Bacterial small subunit ribosomal RNA", at positions 29 to 507 of the family's 1533-position model. The record is from RNAcentral.